Molecule: ribosomal RNA, 530 nt
Filed under: uncultured bacterium
Lineage: Bacteria
Description: bacterial SSU rRNA
Rfam family: Bacterial small subunit ribosomal RNA
Source: RNAcentral
CUUGACAUCCAGAGAAUUUAGCAGAGAUGCUUUAGUGCCUUCGGGAACUCUGAGACAGGUGCUGCAUGGCUGUCGUCAGCUCGUGUUGUGAAAUGUUGGGUUAAGUCCCGCAACGAGCGCAACCCUUAUCCUUUGUUGCCAGCACGUAAUGGUGGGAACUCAAAGGAGACUGCCGGUGAUAAACCGGAGGAAGGUGGGGAUGACGUCAAGUCAUCAUGGCCCUUACGAGUAGGGCUACACACGUGCUACAAUGGCGUAUACAAAGAGAAGCGACCUCGCGAGAGCAAGCGGACCUCAUAAAGUGCGUCGUAGUCCGGAUUGGAGUCUGCAACUCGACUCCAUGAAGUCGGAAUCGCUAGUAAUCGUAAAUCAGAAUGUUACGGUGAAUACGUUCCCGGGCCUUGUACACACCGCCCGUCACACCAUGGGAGUGGGUUGCAAAAGAAGUAGAUAGCUUAACCUUCGGGAGGGCGUUUACCACUUUGUGAUUCAUGACUGGGGUGAAGUCGUAACAAGGUAAGCGUAGUGCU